RNAcentral lists this ribosomal RNA (301 nucleotides) under uncultured bacterium. RNAcentral describes it as "partial 16S ribosomal RNA". It matches the Rfam family "Bacterial small subunit ribosomal RNA", at positions 509 to 808 of the family's 1533-position model. The record is from RNAcentral.
CAGUCGCCACGGGAAUACGUAGGGUGCAAGCGUUAAUCGGAAUUACUGGGCGUAAAGGGAGCGCAGGCGGUUUAGUAAGUCUGAAGUUAAAGGCAUUGGCUCAACCAAUGUAUGCUUUGGAAACUGUUAGACUUGAGUGCAGAAGGGGAGAGUGGAAUUCCAUGUGUAGCGGUGAAAUGCGUAGAUAUAUGGAGGAACACCGGUGGCGAAAGCGGCUCUCUGGUCUGUCACUGACGCUGAGGCUCGAAGGCGUGGGUAGCAAACAGGAUUAGAUACCCGCGUAGUCCCUGUCUCUUAUACC